GCCGUCGUGGUGGAAUUGGUAGACACGCAACCUUGAGGUGGUUGUGACGAAUAGUCGUGAGAGUUCGAGUCUCUCCGUCGGCACCA
RNAcentral lists this transfer RNA (86 nucleotides) under Methylotenera versatilis 301. RNAcentral's name for it is "tRNA-Leu (GAG) (tRNA-Leu-GAG-1-1)". It matches the Rfam family "tRNA". Rfam says of the family: Transfer RNA (tRNA) molecules are approximately 80 nucleotides in length. The record is from RNAcentral. Lineage: Bacteria; Pseudomonadati; Pseudomonadota; Betaproteobacteria; Nitrosomonadales; Methylophilaceae. RNAcentral also lists the same sequence under 1 other name.